Molecule: long non-coding RNA, 604 nt
Organism: Aedes albopictus (Asian tiger mosquito)
Lineage: Eukaryota; Metazoa; Arthropoda; Insecta; Diptera; Culicidae
Exons: 2
Source: RefSeq, a predicted model, not a curated record
CGCUCGUUGAAAUCUACUCAAAAGUGAGUAGGAUUCUACUCACUUUAGUAUUUCAUCGAAAAUGUCAAAAACUGAGUGACAUUAUUUUUCCAAAGAGAGUAGAUUUCUACUCAAUUGCAUUAGUUUGGGGAUGAACUCACUUUUGAGUAGCAUCAUUCAAAUUCAUCUUCGGUAACGGUCAGCAGUUUGCCGUAAAAAUGAAAUUUGCGGAUAACUUUUUUUUUAUGAAUUUAUCAUUCUUUUAAGCGAUAACUAUUCCUGCAUUACAAGGUGAGUAGUUUUCUUUAAAUUUGAUAUUGUUUUGAAACAUAAUAUUAAAUAUUCAAGGUUGUUAUGGAUGUCGAACGACGGAUCCAAGUUGACGGACAAGAUGUCACUUAUUUUUUCCUGCUAAGUGAUAAUCAUGGCAACAACAAUUAAUUCCGGAACCUUCACCGUAGCCAGCAUGAGGCCGACCAGCCCGAAAACCGAGAACCACUCCAUACCAUCCCCUUCAUCCUAGAUCAUCACAAUGGCAUAUGUCUUUGCAGAUUUGGAAUUAGUGUAACAAAUCAUUAAUUGUAAAAUUAUUGCUAAAUAUAUAAAUAAACAUGUUCUUUCAUUA